Molecule: ribosomal RNA, 616 nt
Filed under: uncultured bacterium
Lineage: Bacteria
Description: bacterial SSU rRNA
Rfam family: Bacterial small subunit ribosomal RNA
Source: RNAcentral
AUUGAACGCNGGCGGCGUGCUUAACACAUGCAAGUCGAACGUGAAAGUCCUUCGGGGCGAGUAAAGUGGCGCACGGGUGAGUAACGCGUGGAUAAUCUACCCUUAAGAUGGGGAUAACGGCUGGAAACGGUCGCUAAUACCGAAUACGCUCCCGAUUUUAUCGUUGGGGGGAAAGAUGGCCUCUGCUUGCAAGCUAUCGCUUAAGGAUGAGUCCGCGUCCCAUUAGCUAGUUGGCGGGGUAACGGCCCACCAAGGCGACGAUGGGUAGCCGGUCUGAGAGGAUGACCGGCCACACUGGAACUGGAACACGGUCCAGACUCCUACGGGAGGCAGCAGUGGGGAAUAUUGCGCAAUGGGCGAAAGCCUGACGCAGCGACGCCGCGUGAGGGAUGAAGGUUCUCGGAUCGUAAACCUCUGUCAGGGGGGAAGAAACCCCCUCGUGUGAAUAAUGCGAGGGCUUGACGGUACCCCCAAAGGAAGCACCGGCUAACUCCGUGCCAGCAGCCGCGGUAAUACGGAGGGUGCAAGCGUUAAUCGGAAUCACUGGGCGUAAAGCGCACGUAGGCGGCUUGGUAAGUCAGGGGUGAAAUCCCACAGCCCAACUGUGGAACUGCCU